Molecule: long non-coding RNA, 568 nt
Filed under: Aquila chrysaetos chrysaetos
Lineage: Eukaryota; Metazoa; Chordata; Aves; Accipitriformes; Accipitridae
Description: lncRNA (ENSACCG00020012274.1)
Source: RNAcentral
CACAAAUAGAGGAGAAACUCCUGAGGCUGGUGGUGAAGCAGUUCAUCUUCCUCUGGAACCGCCUCUACGCGAGCCAGCGAUUUGAGCCGGAGAAGACUUUUUGAUUUGGUGACAAAAGUGCUGAAGAAAUGCAACGAGAAUGCUGAUGUUGUGUAUCUGGUGAAAGGUGUGAAGGAAUGCAAGAGCUGCCUGCGGGAGAUCACAGACCCGGCCGAGCUGCCCUGCAGCCACAUCUUCUGCACUCGCUGCAUCCUGGAGUGGACGAACAAGCAGUGUAAGAUCUGCAAGGAGGAAUUCCCGGAGGAUUACACACCCAUGGCUUCAGAGGCCACAAGGGAAGCUGUUGCCUGUUCACAACACAUUCAGGAGGAAAUGCAAUUCCUUCUUCGUUGAGUUCAUCGCCAUGUACUUUUUGGGAGACAGAGAGGCACCGUCUGCCGAAAUCAUUCAGCGACUGAUACAGUUUGUGGCUUGCAAACCCAGCCCCGAGCAUCAGGCGGGGGAAAGGGGUAAAAAGAGCUUGAUUUCCGCUCUAACCCGGGUCCGACCGCUCGCUCUUGGAAGUCAA